Cyclopterus lumpus (lumpfish) is the source of this 1971-nucleotide long non-coding RNA. The record is from Ensembl. NCBI's taxonomy places the organism in Eukaryota, Metazoa, Chordata, Actinopteri, Perciformes, Cyclopteridae.
CCAGAGACUAGACCAGAGACCAGGGACCAGGGACCAGGGACCAGGGACCAGGGACCACAGACCAGAGACCAGAGACCAGGGACCAGGGACCAGGGACCAGACCAGAGACCAGGGACCAGGGACCAGGGACCAGACCAGAGACCAGAGACCAGGGACCAGGGACCACAGACCAGAGACCAGAGACCAGGGACCAGGGACCAGAGACCACAGACCAGAGACCAGGGACCAGGGACCAGGGACCAGGGACCACAGACCACAGACCAGAGACUAGACCAGAGACCAGGGACCAGCGACCAGAGACCACAGACCAGAGACCAGGGACCAGGGACCAGGGACCACAGACCAGAGACCAGAGACCAGGGACCAGGGACCAGAGACCACAGACCAGAGACCAGGGACCAGGGACCAGGGACCACAGACCAGAGACCAGAGACCAGGGACCAGCGACCAGAGACCACAGACCAGAGACCAGGGACCAGGGACCAGGGACCACAGACCAGAGACCAGGGACCAGGGACCAGGGACCAGGGACCAGACCAGAGACCACAGACUACAGACCAGAGACCAGAGACUAGACCAGAGACCAGGGACCAGGGACCAGAGACCACAGACCAGAGACCAGGGACCAGGGACCAGACCAGAGACCACAGACUACAGACCAGAGACCAGAGACUAGACCAGGGACCAGGGACCAGAGACCACAGACCAGAGACCAGGGACCAGGGACCAGACCAGAGACCAGACCAGAGACCAGGGACCAGGGACCAGAGACCACAGACCACAGAUCACAGACCACAGACCAGAGACCAGGGACCACAGACCAGAGACCAGGGACCAGGGACCAGACCAGAGACCAGACCAGAGACCAGACCAGAGACCAGACCAGAGACCAGACCAGAUACCAGACCAGAGACCAGGGACCAGGGACCAGACCAGAGACCAGAGACCACAGACUACAGACCAGAGACCAGGGACCAGAGACCAGACCAGAGACCAGAGACCAGACCAGAGAUCAGACCAGAUACCAGACCAGAGACCAGGGACCAGGGACCAGAGACCAGAGACCAGAGACCAGGGACCAGACCAGAGACCAGACCAGAGACCAGACCAGAGACCAGACCAGAGACCAGACCAGAGACCAGACCAGAUACCAGACCAGAGACCAGAGACCAGGGACCAGGGACCAGACCAGAGACCAGACCAGAGACCAGAGACCAGAGACCACAGACUACAGACCAGAGACCAGAGACCAGGGACCAGGGACCAGAGCAGACCAGAGACCAGAGACCAGAGACCAGGGACCAGGGACCAGACCAGAGACCAGAUCAGAGACCAGAUCAGAGACCAGACCAGAGACCAGACCAGAGACCAGACCAGAGACCACAGACCAGGGACCAGGGACCAGAGCAGACCAGAGACCAGAGACCACAGACCACAGACCAGAGACCAGGGACCAGGGACCAGAGCAGACCAGAGACCAGAGACCAGAGACCAGGGACCAGGGACCAGAGCAGACCAGAGACCAGAGACCAGAGACCAGAGACCAGACUAGAGACCAGACCAGAGGCCAGAGAUCAGAGAUCAGAGAUCAGACUAGAGACCAGACCAGAGACCACAGACCACAGACCACAGACCACAGACCACAGACCAGGGACCAGGGACCAGACCAGAGACCAGAGACCAGACCAGAGACCAGAGACCAGAGACCAGAGACCAGAGACCACAGACCAGAGACCAGAGACCAGACUAGAGACCAGACCAGAGACCACAUACCAGAGACCAGAGACCAGAGACCAGAGACCAGACCAGAGACCUGACCAGAGACCAGAGACCAGAGACCAGAGACCACAGACCACAGACCACAGACCACAGACCACAGACCAGAGACCAGAGACCAGAGACCAGAGACCAGAGACCAGGGACCAGGGACCAGACCAGACACCAGAGACUAGAGACCAAAGACAGUCUUAA